RNAcentral lists this ribosomal RNA (396 nucleotides) under uncultured bacterium. RNAcentral describes it as "bacterial SSU rRNA". It matches the Rfam family "Bacterial small subunit ribosomal RNA", at positions 30 to 429 of the family's 1533-position model. The record is from RNAcentral.
AUUGAACGCUGGCGGCAUGCCUUACACAUGCAAGUCGAACGGCAGCACGGGAGCAAUCCUGGUGGCGAGUGGCGAACGGGUGAGUAAUAUAUCGGAACGUGCCCAGUCGUGGGGGAUAACGUAGCGAAAGCUACGCUAAUACCGCAUACGAUCUAUGGAUGAAAGCGGGGGAUCGCAAGACCUCGCGCGAUUGGAGCGGCCGAUAUCAGAUUAGGUAGUUGGUGGGGUAAAAGCCUACCAAGCCUUCGAUCUGUAGCUGGUCUGAGAGGACGACCAGCCACACUGGAACUGAGACACGGUCCAGACCUACGGGAGGCAGCAGUGGGGAAUUUUGGACAAUGGGCGCAAGCCUGAUCCAGCAAUGCCGCGUGCAGGAUGAAGGCCUUCGGUUGUAAC